GAUGAAGAACGUAGUGAAAUGCGAUAAGUAAUGCGAAUUGCAGAAUUCCAGUGAGUCAUCGAAUCUUUGAACGCACAUUGCGCCCUCUGGUAUUCCGGAGGGCAUGCCUGUUCGAGCGUCAUUUCGACCCUCAAGCAUUGCUUGGUGUUGGGGCACCGCCUGUAAAAGGGCGGGCCCUGAAAUCUAGUGGCGAGCUCGCCAGGACCCCGAGCGUAGUAAUUAUAUUUCGUUCUGGAAGGCCCUGGCGGUGCCCUGCCGUUAAACCCCCAACUUCUGAAAAUUUGACCUCGGAUCAGGUAGGAAUACCCGCUGAACUUAAGCAUAUCAAUAAGCGGAGGA
This 339-nucleotide unclassified non-coding RNA is filed under the name soil metagenome. RNAcentral describes it as "partial contains 5.8S ribosomal RNA, internal transcribed spacer 2, and large subunit ribosomal RNA". The stretch from base 1 to 121 matches the Rfam family "5.8S ribosomal RNA", at positions 35 to 154 of the family's 154-position model. The record is from RNAcentral.